RNAcentral lists this ribosomal RNA (468 nucleotides) under uncultured bacterium. Its description in RNAcentral is "partial 16S ribosomal RNA". It matches the Rfam family "Bacterial small subunit ribosomal RNA", at positions 28 to 507 of the family's 1533-position model. The record is from RNAcentral.
GACGAACGCUGGCGGCGUGCUUAACACAUGCAAGUCGAACGGAAAGGCCCUGCUUUUGUGGGGUGCACGAGUGGCGAACGGGUGAGUAACACGUGAGUAACCUGCUCUUGACUUUGGGAUAACUUCAGGAAACUGGGGCUAAUACCGGAUAGGAGCUCCUGCUGCAUGGUGGGGGUUGGAAAGUUUCGGCGGUUGGGGAUGGACUCGCGGCUUAUCAGCUUGUUGGUGGGGUAGUGGCUUACCCAGGCUUUGACGGGUAGCCGGCCUGAGAGGGUGACCGGCCACAUGGGGACUGAGGUACGGCCCAGACUCCUACGGGAGGCAGCAGUGGGGAAUAUUGCACAAUGGGCGGAAGCCUGAUGCAGCAACGCCGCGGGCGGGAUGACGGCCUUCGGGUUGUAAACCGCUUUCGCCUGUGACGAAGCGUGAGUGACGGUAAUGGGUGAAGAAGCACCGGCUAACUACGUG